AUGAAAACCAUGCAGCCACUCCAGCUUUCACGCAUGAGAUACGACAGAAAACUACCGAUAAGUUCCCUUGGCAUUGUUCUUCUGAUGCUCAUGUCCUUGGCCUCUAUCACUAGCUCCUGCACAGAGCAAGAGAAGGCCUCCCUCCUCAAGUUCCUCACUGGGCUCUCACAGGAUGGUGGCCUUGCCGCGUCAUGGCAGAACGGCACAGAUUGCAUCACGUGGGAAGGGAUCACCUGCAACAUGGAUGGGACGGUUACUGAUGUCUUGCUCGCUUCCAAGGGUCUUCAGGGGUAUAUCUCACCCACUCUUGGCAGCCUCGCCGGAUUGUUGCGACUCAAUCUGUCAAACAACAUGCUGUCCAGUGGACUACCACAAGAAUUGGUGUCUUCCAACAGCAUCGUCGCCAUCGACAUCAGCUUCAACCGCCUAGAUGGAGAACUGCAUGGGGUGCCAUCUUCAACCCCAGUGCGUCCCUUGAAGGUACUGAACAUCUCCAGCAAUUUGUUUGCAGGACAGUUUCCAUCCUCCACAUGGGGGGGCAUGAAACACCUGGUCGCACUCAAUGCCAGCAACAACAGCUUUACUGGGCAACUACCAACUCAUUUCUGCACCAGCUUUCCAUCCUUGGUUGUGCUUGACCUCUCUUACAACCGAUUCAGAGGGAGUAUUCCACCUGAAUUAGGUAGCUGCUCCAUGCUCAGAGUGCUCAAGGUUGGCCACAACAACCUCAGCGGGACUCUCCCAGAUGAACUCGUUAAUGCUACCUCGUUGGAGUUCCUCUCUUUUCCCAGGAAUGGUUUACAAGGAAUACUUCAAGACACAUAUAUUGCCAAACUCACUUUUUUGGUUACCCUUGAUCUUGGAGAGAACAACUUCAGUGGCAACAUUCCGGAAUCUAUAGGCCAUCUCAAGAGAUUGGAGGAACUCUAUUUUUGA
RNAcentral lists this ribosomal RNA (936 nucleotides) under Triticum aestivum (bread wheat). Its description in RNAcentral is "partial small subunit ribosomal RNA". The record is from RNAcentral. Lineage: Eukaryota; Viridiplantae; Streptophyta; Magnoliopsida; Poales; Poaceae.